Long non-coding RNA from Oryctolagus cuniculus (rabbit), 959 nucleotides. RefSeq lists it as uncharacterized. NCBI's taxonomy places the organism in Eukaryota, Metazoa, Chordata, Mammalia, Lagomorpha, Leporidae. The record is from RefSeq and is a predicted model, not a curated record.
UUCAACACUUAUUUCCAAAGGGAAAGAAUCUUAAUUGGUGAUAUCCUCAGUUUGCUCAAAGAAAUACAGUGUUCGCACUAGCAUAAAGAAGUGAGAGAUUUGGACCAAAAUAUAGAAGUACCUGGGUAAAAGUCCAGGCCAUGUCCUUCAUGUAAGUGUUUUAGGUUUUCAGGGGGCUCAACAUUUAAUAUUUUUGAACACCUACCAUGUGCCGGGCAUUCUGGAAGUUGUUUUAUUCCCAGCAGUCCUGUGAAAUGCCUAUAAUUGUCUCACUGUUACUGGCAAGGAAACCGAAGCUCAAAGAGGUGAAGGAACAUGGCCAGGCUUAUGUACUAAGGUCAACAGAACAGGAAUUUGGCCUGCCCAACUAAUUUUGUCUCACAAACCCAUGCACAUAGAAGGAAUGAAAACUUCGUGGGCGAAGUCUGGCCGUGCUGUGGACUCCGAGCAAUGACCCUGGCUUGCUUUGAGAUCCGUGUUUGUCUACCUUUCCUUGGCUCUGUGAUAUUGAGAGCUCUAACAAGCCAAGCCACUAUCGCUACGACUAGAAGCUUCUGUACUUCUCAGAGCAUUCAGGCAAGUUCUAAAAGCAAUCAGUGGAGUCCUAGUAAACACUUUGGGAUUACCCAGAAUGCUGCCUAAACCUGUUAACAGUUUGAGUAUGUGUAGCCACCGCCGUGAUCAGGUGCAGGCAAAGCUGUAGGUGUUUAGUGUGUGGAAAGACUCUAAAAGGAGGUUCAGAGGGGUAGCUGGAGGUGUCUGUGCGGUGGGGGGGGGGGGGUUGUGGGGAGGAAAGGAUUACAAGGAUUAAGUCAGAACUUCAGAGAUAAGGGUUCUGGGCUGAGGAAUGAGCAAGUAAACACAGCUUAAGCUGGGCAAAAGAACUGAAUUUUCUAAGCUGUGGACUUGAUUUAUUGGAUUAUUUUUAAGUGUUUGUUACCUGCUGUUCAGACAACUGA